Molecule: RNase P RNA, 286 nt
Filed under: Luteibacter sp.
Lineage: Bacteria; Pseudomonadati; Pseudomonadota; Gammaproteobacteria; Lysobacterales; Rhodanobacteraceae
Description: partial RNase P RNA component class A
Rfam family: Bacterial RNase P class A
About the family: Ribonuclease P (RNase P) is a ubiquitous endoribonuclease, found in archaea, bacteria and eukarya as well as chloroplasts and mitochondria. Its best characterised activity is the generation of mature 5'-ends of tRNAs by cleaving the 5'-leader elements of precursor-tRNAs.
Source: RNAcentral
CCUGGGCAGCGUGAGCUGACGGCCAGUGCAACAGAGAGCAGACCGCCGAUGGCCCCGCAAGGGGAUCAGGUAAGGGUGAAAGGGUGCGGUAAGAGCGCACCGCGUGCGGGGACAACGUCGCAUGGCACGGUAAACCCCACCCGGAGCAAGACCAAAUAAGGGGACUAUGACGUUGCCCGCGUCGUCCCCGGGUAGGUUGCUGGAGCCUGGCGGUGACGCCAGGCCGAGAAGAAUGACUGUCACGUCGCAAGACGCACAGAACCCGGCUUAUAGGCCGACUCCUUCU